GGGCCUGUAGCUCAGUCGGCAGAGCAUCGGACUUUUAAUCCGCGGGUCGCGGGUUCGAUCCCCGCCGGGCCCA
This 73-nucleotide transfer RNA is filed under the name Corynebacterium xerosis. RNAcentral's name for it is "tRNA-Lys-TTT". It matches the Rfam family "tRNA". Rfam says of the family: Transfer RNA (tRNA) molecules are approximately 80 nucleotides in length. Their secondary structure includes four short double-helical elements and three loops (D, anti-codon, and T loops). Further hydrogen bonds mediate the characteristic L-shaped molecular structure. tRNAs have two regions of fundamental functional importance: the anti-codon, which is responsible for specific mRNA codon recognition, and the 3' end, to which the tRNAs corresponding amino acid is attached (by aminoacyl-tRNA synthetases). tRNAs cope with the degeneracy of the genetic code in two manners: having more than one tRNA (with a specific anti-codon) for a particular amino acid; and 'wobble' base-pairing, i.e. permitting non-standard base-pairing at the 3rd anti-codon position. RNAcentral also lists the same sequence under 2 other names. The record is from RNAcentral. Lineage: Bacteria; Bacillati; Actinomycetota; Actinomycetes; Mycobacteriales; Corynebacteriaceae.